GCUGGGCAUGGUAGCGCAUGCCUGUAAUCCCAGCUACUUGGGAGGCUGAGGCAGGAGAAUCACUUGAACCAGGGAGUCAGAGGUUGCAGUGAGCUGAGACAGUGCCAUUGAACUCCAGCCUGGCUAUAGAGUGAUACUCCGUCUCCC
Molecule: unclassified non-coding RNA, 147 nt
Organism: Callithrix jacchus (white-tufted-ear marmoset)
Lineage: Eukaryota; Metazoa; Chordata; Mammalia; Primates; Cebidae
Rfam family: Metazoan signal recognition particle RNA
About the family: The signal recognition particle (SRP) is a universally conserved ribonucleoprotein.
Source: Ensembl